RNAcentral lists this long non-coding RNA (979 nucleotides) under Triticum aestivum (bread wheat). Its description in RNAcentral is "long non-coding RNA (TAES_LNC019255)". The record is from RNAcentral. Lineage: Eukaryota; Viridiplantae; Streptophyta; Magnoliopsida; Poales; Poaceae.
CCUUCACAACAAUGAAAUCAUGGAUAAUUCUUCUAUUUAAUUGAAGUUCUCUAAGCUUCUUCCCCCAUUGAAAGCAGUCUACAAAAUAAUUGAGAACAAGGUCAGCGCCAAAAUUCAAACCAUAUAAUUUCUUGCUAAUCUCAUAUACUGUUAUUCAAAAGAAAGAUGUAUUUUGCUGUAAGAUUUUAGCACUAGUACACAAGACAUAAAAAGGUACCAAAAAUCCUUAGUGAUCUGAAGCAGCAAACAAAAUUUAAACACAGACAAUGCAUGCCAUAGUAAUAGCAGCACAAACAGAGAAAUGCAAAAGGCACCUCAUACUAGUAUGGUGAUCUCCGUCGCAAAUUUUAAGCUCUAUUUCAUGUAGAUAAUUUAUUUGGUUUUAGUAAACAACUACAGUAGCAUGCAGUAUAUAUGAAGGGAUUACAACAGGUUCCUAUAGUACACUAGAUAGGCCAACAUUUUAGACUACUAGUACCUAGAAAUCAUAUGCAUCUCUGUUUUUUCUCUAGCCCAGCCACAAGAUCAUAAGAGAAAUCAUAAGUAUCUGGUGCAUUUGAUAUAAUAAAGCAGCUCCCGAACAAACAGAAGUUCUGCAUCUUCACAUCCCAAUUCAGGAGAUCUGUGGGAAAACCUACCCUGAGGAGCUCGCUGCGGGAUCUUCUCCAUGGACAGCCCCCUUCUUUCACAACACCAGAUUGGCCUCUUCACGAACCUGCAAAAAUAAAUGCACACACAAAUCAGAUUGUGGGAGACGAGAGGAGGAAGAGGAGGAGGAGGGAUGUGUAUGCAAGUGUAUAAGCAUCAAGCAUGAGAUACUUUUCAAAUUACUAUGAACAUUCUUAGUUUCUUUGAUUGAAGUAGGUGACUGGGGCUAGGUGUGCUCACUACUAGGCAGUAAAAACUCGGUAUAUACAAGCAUUGCGUGCUUAGUUAUCGGCGACGAAUAUCUAGACACCAAAAUAUCGGUGCCUCUGCC